RNAcentral lists this ribosomal RNA (253 nucleotides) under uncultured bacterium. RNAcentral's name for it is "partial 16S ribosomal RNA". It matches the Rfam family "Bacterial small subunit ribosomal RNA", at positions 524 to 776 of the family's 1533-position model. The record is from RNAcentral.
UACAGAGGGGGCAAGCGUUGUUCGGAAUUACUGGGCGUAAAGGGCGCGUAGGCGGCCUGCUAAGUCGAUCGUGAAAUCCCCGGGCUUAACCCGGGAACUGCGACCGAUACUGGUUGGCUUGAAUUCGGGAGAGGGAUGCGGAAUUCCAGGUGUAGCGGUGAAAUGCGUAGAUAUCUGGAGGAACACCGGUGGCGAAGGCGGCAUCCUGGACCGGUAUUGACGCUGAGGCGCGAAAGCUAGGGGAGCAAACGGG